GUGUUAUACUCAUAGUUGGCUUGACCUGAAUAUGAGCGCUGAUAUUUCUGCAGGUGAAGGAGCGUUGUUCCUGUUGAACUUGUUUAGGAGUCGACAGGAUGUCCUUUAAAGCAUUUAUCUGCUAACUUAAGACGAGGCAGUUAUGUUUUGAAUGUACUUUCCAAAUAUUACGUAUGAAAUGAGUCUAUAGCAGCUGCAGACUCAUCUUUGCAAUAUCAUAGCCUAGCAUAAAAAGUGAGCUGCUGAAGUGGAAUAGUAGUGGGUCAUUUUUUUUCCAAGCGUGGUCGAGUUUUGUUUUGACAAACAGGGUUUUGGUUCCUCCUGCCGACAUGGAGUCGUUCGGAUGCAUUUCCAGUGUCCUCGGAUGCUCUGCUUGCGUUGCGCUGACUGGGGUUGUGUUUGCUGCCUACAAACUUGGUGUAAUCUACCAGUUGUUUCACAAGACUGAAACAAAGAGCCCCCGGCAUGGAGGGGAGAGUGUUGCCGAAGUCCUCCGUGCGCAUGGAAUCCAGUUCCUUUUCACCCUCGUUGGUGGGCACAUCUCUCCCAUCCUGGUGGCCUGCGAGAAGGUUGGCAUCCGUGUCGUUGACACCAGACACGAAGCCACUGCUGUCUUUGCUGCUGAUGCUGUGGCGAGGCUCUCAGGCACUGUUGGAGUAGCCGCAGUGACUGCUGGCCCGGGCCUGACUAACACAGUGACAGCAGUGAAGAAUGCUCAAAUGGCGGAAUCUCCAUUGCUGCUUUUGGGAGGAGCUGCUGGUACAUUACUGCAGGGCAGAGGGGCACUGCAGGACAUCGACCAGAUGUCUCUCUUCAGGCCUCUUUGUAAGUUCUGUGCCUCCAUCCAGACCGUCAGGGAGAUCGUGCCAACACUCAGAAAGGCUCUAGCCAUUGCUCAGUCAGGAACUCCUGGUCCUGUUUUCAUCGAGUUCCCCAUUGAUACGCUGUACCCAUACCACCUGGUGUCCAAAGAGUUUGCUGUUAAAAAUCCUCCCAAAGGGCUGAUGGGAAAAAUUGUCUCAUGGUACCUCAAUAAUCACCUCAUGAACCUUUUUGCUGGAGCCUGGGAGACCAGAGAUGUUUCUCCACUUCCUGUUCACAUCCCUCAAGCCACGGAUGAUCAGGUACAAAGAUGCAUAGAGCUAGUGAGUCGAGCCAAGAAACCCGUCAUUCUCCUUGGGAGCCAAGCUACACUCCCUCCUACGCCAGCAGAAGACAUCAGGAAGGCUUUGGAGAAUCUAGGUAUCCCCUGCUUUCUUGGGGGUAUGUCCCGGGGCAUGCUGGGAAAAGACAGCCCUAUCCACAUCCGACAGAACAGACGGGACGCUCUCAAAGAGGCCGACCUGGUUCUCCUUGCAGGCACUGUGUGUGACUUCCGACUGAGCUAUGGCAGAGUUCUGAACAGAAGGAGCAAGAUAAUCGCUGUCAACAGGGACAAGUCACAGCUGCUGAAAAACUCUGAUAUGUUCUGGAAACCAACUAUAGCAAUUCAGGGUGACGCUGGGUCAUUUAUUGUGCGUCUCUCUAAGGGGCUGAAGGGCCAUCGCUGUCCUGAGGAAUGGCCUCAGAGCCUCAAAGCUGGAGAUUCUACCAAAGAAGAUGCAAACAGGGCUAAAGCUAAUGAGAAGACGGAACACCACCUAAAUCCUUUAAAAGUCCUCCACUGUGUGGAUGAGCUGAUGGCUGAGGACAGCAUCAUUGUAGCAGAUGGGGGAGAUUUUGUGGGAAGUGCUGCCUAUAUAAUGAGACCAAGAGGACCUUUGCGUUGGUUGGAUCCAGUUGGUUCAUGUUCCUGUAGGAGCCUUUGGAACUCUGGGAGUAGGAGGAGGUUUUGCUUUGGGAGCAAAACUGUGCCGUCCUGAGUCUGAGGUGUGGAUAGUCUAUGGAGACGGCUCCCUGGGCUACAGUGUUGCAGAGUAUGACACAUUUACCCGGCACAAGGUAAACGCAUGAAUCUUUGACUUAAACAUGCAAGACUCAGAUAUUCAUCUGAUACAGGAAAAAGGUCACACUUUGUUCUGAUUUAUCACAGUGUGUUUGCUCACACUGUUAGGAUUUCUCACCAUCCUAGUUUGUUUAGAGAUGCACAGAUCAGAGUUCUGUGUCUGAUUUAUGAGCGCUAAAUAAAUAGGGCACUUUAGUGCAGGUCUAGUUUUUGUACAGGUUUUGGUAAAUUCUUUUUCUGUAAGAAUUUUACUAUAAUAUAUAUUUUUUAGCUUUCCUGUUAACAGAAACUAUAGUGAAAGCUGAGGUUGCCAUUCUGCUGUGCAAGAAAGCACUUGAUCUGAAACGGGCUUUCACAGAAACAUUGCAACCCUACUGGUCAGAGCAGAGAAGGGCUGAGCUCACCAUGUGGAUAUUUUAACCUUUUUCAUGUGUUUUGUGUGAUGUAAACUUGGUAAUGUUCUCUAUUUUUUCCUUUGCGGUGUUUGACUUGUGAAAUGUUGGACGUGUGGACAGUGAACACAUUAGUGAGCUCCACCCGGUUGCUUUUAAUUACUUGCCUUGAUGCCGUCUUUAAUUUUUCCUUUGACAUGGGUAUAGAUAAUGCUAAGAUAAUGGUCUGGGUGGAGCUUACCUGAAACAGAGCUGAAGAUUGAUCUUUGAUUUCUGUGUUUAAUAUCCUUUAGCAGUGAAGCACCUAAUUUAGCUAUUGAUUGCUAAAUCAAUAGCUAUUGAUUGCCGAAAUCUUAACUUCAGUGGGGGAAGUUGGUACUUUUACUGCUCUGAAAAAGAUAUGAUUUUUGAGCCUUCAACCUGGUGAACAUCAGUCAAGGCUGAUGAAACUGAAAAAAAAAAUACAGUUAUUAAAUUCUGAUCGCUAAUUUUUUAUGCAGGCAUAGAAGCAAAUGGAUGUGCUGCUACAUUGACCAGAUGGUGUACUGUGAUUAUUUUACUUGAUCACUUUGCUCUUCAGACACCAGUUAUAUCUGUGGUUGGAAACGAUGCGUGUUGGAGUCAGAUCUCCAGAGAGCAGGUUCCCAUCCUUGGUAGCAACGUGGCUUGUGGCCUUGCUUUUACAGAUUAUCACACAGUGGCAGAUGGUUAUGGCGGUAAGGGCUACCUUGUCAGACGAGAAGACGAGAACCGGCUAAGUGACAUCA
Molecule: RNA transcript, 3104 nt
Organism: Xiphophorus couchianus (Monterrey platyfish)
Lineage: Eukaryota; Metazoa; Chordata; Actinopteri; Cyprinodontiformes; Poeciliidae
Gene: ilvbl
Gene name: ilvB (bacterial acetolactate synthase)-like
Exons: 13
Source: RefSeq, a predicted model, not a curated record